RNAcentral lists this ribosomal RNA (253 nucleotides) under uncultured bacterium. Its description in RNAcentral is "partial 16S ribosomal RNA". It matches the Rfam family "Bacterial small subunit ribosomal RNA", at positions 524 to 776 of the family's 1533-position model. The record is from RNAcentral.
UACAGAGGGGGCAAGCGUUGUUCGGAAUUACUGGGCGUAAAGGGCGCGUAGGCGGCCUUCUAAGUCGAACGUGAAAUCCCUGGGCUCAACCCAGGAACUGCGUCCGAUACUGGGAGGCUUGAAUCCGGGAGAGGUGAGUGGAACUGCGAGUGUAGAGGUGAAAUUCGUAGAUAUUCGCAAGAACACCAGUGGCGAAGGCGGCUCACUGGCCCGGUACUGACGCCGAGGUGCGAAAGCGUGGGGAGCAAACAGG